CCUACGGGAGGCAGCAGUGGGGAAUAUUGGGCAAUGGACGCAAGAGUGAAGCAGCGACGCCGCGUGAAGGAAGACGGCCCUCGGGUCGGUAAGUUGUUUUGACAGGGGAGUAAAUGCCGAUAAGUAAAUGUGUCUGUAUUUAUGGUACCUGUAUAAGCAGCCUCGGCUAACUCCGGGACAGCCGCUGCGGUGAUACGGAGGGGGCAGGCGUUGUUCGGAGUGGUGGGGUUUAAAGGGCACGUAGGCGGUGUUGUAAGGCAUUAGUCAAGGCCCUGGGCUCAACUUUAGUAUGGCCAGUGAUACUUUAAUCCUAGAGUAUAAGAGAGGAUUGCGGAAUUCAUGGUGUAGCGGUGAAAUGCGUAGAUAUCAGGAAGAAUACCGUUCGCGAAGGCAGCUAUCUGGCUGGCAACUGACGCUGAGGUGCGAAAGCGUGGGUAGCAAACAGGAUUAGAUACCCUGGUAGUC
RNAcentral lists this ribosomal RNA (465 nucleotides) under uncultured bacterium. RNAcentral describes it as "partial 16S ribosomal RNA". It matches the Rfam family "Bacterial small subunit ribosomal RNA", at positions 338 to 795 of the family's 1533-position model. The record is from RNAcentral.